This 253-nucleotide ribosomal RNA is filed under the name uncultured bacterium. Its description in RNAcentral is "partial 16S ribosomal RNA". It matches the Rfam family "Bacterial small subunit ribosomal RNA", at positions 524 to 776 of the family's 1533-position model. The record is from RNAcentral.
UACGGAGGGUGCAAGCGUUAUCCGGAUUCACUGGGUUUAAAGGGAGCGCAGGCGGAUUUGUAAGUCAGUGGUGAAAUACCUGAGCUUAACUCGGGAACUGCCAUUGAUACUACAGGUCUUGAAUAUUGUUGAGGUUUGCGGAAUGGGUCAUGUAGCGGUGAAAUGCAUAGAUAUGACCCGGAACACCUAUUGCGAAGGCAGCAGGCUAAACAAUGAUUGACGCUGAGGCUCGAAAGCGUGGGGAUCAAACAGG